GACGAACGCUGGCGGCGUGCUUAACACAUGCAAGUCGAACGGAAAGGCCCCUUUGGGGGUACUCGAGUGGCGAACGGGUGAGUAACACGUGAGUAACCUGCCCUUGACUUCGGGAUAACUUCAGGAAACUGGGGCUAAUACCGGAUAGGAAUCCUUGCUGCAUGGUGGGGGUUGGAAAGCUUCGGCGGUUUUGGAUGGACUCGCGGCUUAUCAGCUUGUUGGUGGGGUAGUGGCUUACCAAGGCUUUGACGGGUAGCCGGCCUGAGAGGGCGACCGGCCACAUUGGGACUGAGAUACGGCCCAGACUCCUACGGGAGGCAGCAGUGGGGAAUAUUGCACAAUGGGCGGAAGCCUGAUGCAGCAACGCCGCGUGCGGGAUGACGGCCUUCAGGUUGUAAACCGCUUUCAGCAGGGGCGAAGCUUGUGGUGACGGUACCUGCAGAAGAAGCACCGGCUAACUACGUG
This 465-nucleotide ribosomal RNA is filed under the name uncultured bacterium. RNAcentral's name for it is "partial 16S ribosomal RNA". It matches the Rfam family "Bacterial small subunit ribosomal RNA", at positions 28 to 507 of the family's 1533-position model. The record is from RNAcentral.